Long non-coding RNA from Apodemus sylvaticus (European woodmouse), 1400 nucleotides. RefSeq lists it as uncharacterized. The transcript has 7 exons. NCBI's taxonomy places the organism in Eukaryota, Metazoa, Chordata, Mammalia, Rodentia, Muridae. The record is from RefSeq and is a predicted model, not a curated record.
CUGCUGUGAACCUUGUUAGAAAUUCCAGGAACCCCAUUGGAAGAUGUUCAACACCCUCCUGAGGAGGAUCCCAUGGUUUCUCACAAGGAUGUAAUGCCAAAUGGGAUUACCUCAGAAAGGUAUUAUUCAUGGACUUUAUCAUAUCCACUUAAAUGAAGAGUAUCAACAGGGCCCUGCUCAACUUUUCACAAGGUAAUUAAAGACCCAAAAGAGUUCUCUCAGCAGACAGGAUCUCCUCUCUCUACAGGGCAUUCCAUCAACAAGACAGAAAGCAAGUCCCUGAGGCUAUAGGCACCUUACUGCUGUUCUGUGAAAUUCCCACUUUACCAAUGGCUCCCUAGGUGGAUACAAGAAAAGAAAUAUCAGAAUCAUGGAGAGAGGGAAGGAAGAAAAUAAUGUGGUUUGGAGAACAUCUUGAGACUCUUCCUCUUCCUCACCCAUAUGGAUUAGGGUACGCCUUGUUGGAAUUGACAUUUUCACUGGCAGAAAACAUGAAGAUAUCUGUCCCUCUACUCACAACAUGGAUGUUCCAAAUAUUAAGAGAAAUGAUUAUCAAGGUGCAGUUCCCUCCUUUUUGAGGUUUCCAUUCAUUAUCCUUUGAAGGACUGGAUUUGUGGAAAGAUUAGACAUGGUUGCAGUGUGGUAAGAAACAUCAUUUUUUCAUCCACAUGGAGCAAAUAUUUCAUGUUCCCGAAUUCUCCAUCUAACAUCAGCAACAUAAAGAAUUAGAACAUGGACUCAGCAGCUGCCACAGUGGGAGGACAUGGACCCCUGGCCAUUGUGCUCUGGCGGAAAGUUCAGUGGCUCCUCUUCUCUAGGAGAGUAUUAUAGGAUAUGUUAUCCAUAAUUGCGGGAAGGGGCCAAAGUUCAUAUCAAAUAUUCCCAUUCGUACCAGAAAAAUCACACUGGUCCCUUAGGGAUAAGAUUUACAUUGAACUACAUAUUAACUGUAGUGAAGAAUCUGUGCUCAUAGUAGCUUCCGUUUUAAAGUAUUCUACUGAAGAUGCCAUGUACAAAUUACAUCCUGCUAAAACAGCUCAUCUCUGUGCUAUUAAAAUGAAAACCUCUAUGAGGAAUCACUUAGACACCUACACCUUAUCUGUCCGCGUAGCCCCUCAUGUGCUGUGGGAUCCAACUUGCUGAACUCAUGAUUUGGGAGUGACCUCCCAAAAUAGCAGGGAAAAAUGAAACAACUUCAACAUAUAUCUUUUCACAAUGGAAAUUUCCUCAUGACUGAAGAAGUUGCUGGUCAUUUUAUUUUAAUGUUCCCUUCUACCUCCCUCUUAACCACAGCAGAAGAGAUUAUUACGAGAAACAACUUCAGUUUUAUAUUUAACCAUAUUGUUACAUAGUUUCACUCACUAUAUUUAUUUUAUGUUGUGUAUUACACAUUCUUAUCU